RNAcentral lists this non-coding RNA (21 nucleotides) under Arabidopsis thaliana (thale cress). The record is from RNAcentral. Lineage: Eukaryota; Viridiplantae; Streptophyta; Magnoliopsida; Brassicales; Brassicaceae.
CACUGGAUCAAUGAGCCUAAA